GAGGUCCUGCCUGCCCAGUGAAACAUUUUUAACGGCCGCGGUAUCCUAACCGUGCAAAGGUAGCGUAAUCACUUGUCUCCUAAAUAGAGACCAGUAUGAACGGCUAAAUGAGGACAAAUCUGUCUCCUAUGACCAAUCAGUGAAACUGAUCUUUCAGUACAAAAACUGAAAUAUUCUCAUAAGACGAGAAGACCCUGUGGAGCUUAAGACGAAUGACCAACCUAACGGAUAUGUCCUUAAGUCUUAAGUUGGGGCAACUUCGGAAAAAAACAAAACUUCCGAGCACAGAAGCACCCCUUCUAAUCAAGGCCUACAAGCCAAAACACCAAUAGACCCAGUCACACUGACCAACGAACCAAGUUACCCCAGGGAUAACAGCGCUAUCUUCUCCAAGAGUUCCUAUCGACGAGAAGGUUUACGACCUCGAUGUUGGAUCAGGACACCCAGACGGUGCAGCCGCUGUCAACGGUUCGUUUGUUCAACGAUUAACAGUCCUACGUGAUCUGAGU
RNAcentral lists this ribosomal RNA (509 nucleotides) under Lankascincus fallax. RNAcentral describes it as "partial 16S ribosomal RNA". It matches the Rfam family "Bacterial large subunit ribosomal RNA", at positions 1849 to 2610 of the family's 2925-position model. The record is from RNAcentral. Lineage: Eukaryota; Metazoa; Chordata; Lepidosauria; Squamata; Scincidae.